GGAAGCGUGGCCGAGCGGUUGAAGGCACCGGUCUUGAAAACCGGCGACCCGAAAGGGUUCCAGAGUUCGAAUCUCUGCACUUCCGCCA
This 88-nucleotide transfer RNA is filed under the name Escherichia coli. RNAcentral describes it as "tRNA-Ser". It matches the Rfam family "tRNA". Rfam says of the family: Transfer RNA (tRNA) molecules are approximately 80 nucleotides in length. Their secondary structure includes four short double-helical elements and three loops (D, anti-codon, and T loops). Lineage: Bacteria; Pseudomonadati; Pseudomonadota; Gammaproteobacteria; Enterobacterales; Enterobacteriaceae. The record is from RNAcentral.